GAUUCAUGAUAACUUCACGGAUCGCAUGGCCUUGCGCCGGCGACGGUUCAUUCAAAUUUCUGCCCUAUCAACUUUCGAUGGUAAGGUAUUGGCUUACCAUGGUUUCAACGGGUAACGGGGAAUUAGGGUUCGAUUCCGGAGAGGGAGCCUGAAAAACGGCUACCACAUCCAAGGAAGGCAGCAGGCGCGCAAAUUACCCAAUCCCGACACGGGGAGGUAGUGACAAUAAAUACUGAUACAGGGCUCUUUUGGGUCUUGUAAUUGGAAUGAGUACAAUUUAAACCUCUUAACGAAGAACAAUUGGAGGGCAAGUCUGGUGCCAGCAGCCGCGGUAAUUCCAGCUCCAAUAGCGUAUAUUAAAGUUGUUGCAGUUAAAAAGCUCGUAGUUGAAACUUGGGCCUGGCUGGCAGGUCCGCCUCACCGCGUGUACUUGUCCGGCCGGGCCUUUCCUUCUGGAGAACCUCAUGCCCUUCACUGGGUGUGUUGGGGAACCAGGACUUUUAC
Molecule: ribosomal RNA, 504 nt
Filed under: uncultured fungus
Lineage: Eukaryota; Fungi
Description: SSU rRNA
Rfam family: Eukaryotic small subunit ribosomal RNA
Source: RNAcentral